RNAcentral lists this ribosomal RNA (304 nucleotides) under uncultured bacterium. Its description in RNAcentral is "bacterial SSU rRNA". It matches the Rfam family "Bacterial small subunit ribosomal RNA", at positions 30 to 333 of the family's 1533-position model. The record is from RNAcentral.
AUUGAACGCUGGCGGAAUGCUUUACACAUGCAAGUCGAGCGGCAGCGCGGGGCAACCUGGCGGCGAGCGGCGAACGGGUGAGUAAUGUAUCGGAACGUGUCCUUGAGUGGGGGAGUAGCCCGGUCGAAAACCGGAAUUAAUACCGCAUACGCAGGAGACUGGAAAGACGGGGAGUCGCAAGACCUCGCGCUCUAGGAGCGGCCGAUAUCCGAUUAGUUUGUUGGUGAGGUAAAGGCUACCAAGGCGAUGAUCGGUAGCUGGUCUGAGAGGAUGAUCAGCCACACUGGGACUGAGACACGGCCCA